This 539-nucleotide ribosomal RNA is filed under the name uncultured bacterium. RNAcentral describes it as "bacterial SSU rRNA". It matches the Rfam family "Bacterial small subunit ribosomal RNA", at positions 356 to 896 of the family's 1533-position model. The record is from RNAcentral.
GAGGAAUAUUGGUCAAUGGGCGAGAGCCUGAACCAGCCAAGUAGCGUGCAGGAUGACGGCCCUAUGGGUUGUAAACUGCUUUUGUAUGGGGAUAAAGUCAGUCACGUGUGAUUGUUUGCAGGUACCAUACGAAUAAGGACCGGCUAAUUCCGUGCCAGCAGCCGCGGUAAUACGGAAGGUCCGGGCGUUAUCCGGAUUUAUUGGGUUUAAAGGGAGCGUAGGCUGGAGAUUAAGUGUGUUGUGAAAUGUAGACGCUCAACGUCUGACUUGCAGCGCAUACUGGUUUCCUUGAGUACGCACAACGUUGGCGGAAUUCGUCGUGUAGCGGUGAAAUGCUUAGAUAUGACGAAGAACUCCGAUUGCGAAGGCAGCUGACGGGAGCGCAACUGACGCUUAAGCUCGAAGGUGCGGGUAUCGAACAGGAUUAGAUACCCUGGUAGUCCGCACAGUAAACGAUGGAUGCCCGCUGUUGGUACCUGGUAUCAGCGGCUAAGCGAAAGCAUUAAGCAUCCCACCUGGGGAGUACGCCGGCAACGGUG